RNAcentral lists this unclassified non-coding RNA (277 nucleotides) under Basidiomycota sp. RNAcentral describes it as "partial contains small subunit ribosomal RNA, internal transcribed spacer 1, and 5.8S ribosomal RNA". The stretch from base 1 to 47 matches the Rfam family "Eukaryotic small subunit ribosomal RNA", at positions 1785 to 1831 of the family's 1831-position model. The record is from RNAcentral. Lineage: Eukaryota; Fungi; Basidiomycota.
AAAGUCGUAACAAGGUUUCCGUAGGUGAACCUGCGGAAGGAUCAUUAUUAAUAUUUUGGUUAACGCCAAUAAUAUAUGUGCAACGAGGGAGUGUCCAGCCUACUGUUCAUGUGCUUAAGGGUACUUGUAUGGUGGUUGGGCACUGCCGCCUGGGCUUGCCUAGGUUAUUUACCAUUGUUUAUCAGUCUUGAAAUCUGUCAUCAGGGAGUAACCGCAAGGUGCAACCUGCUCUGACUCUAAGGUGUAAAAACUUUUAGCAACGGAUCUCUAGGCUCUC